RNAcentral lists this ribosomal RNA (497 nucleotides) under uncultured bacterium. Its description in RNAcentral is "partial 16S ribosomal RNA". It matches the Rfam family "Bacterial small subunit ribosomal RNA", at positions 28 to 507 of the family's 1533-position model. The record is from RNAcentral.
GAUGAACGCUGGCGGCGUGCCUAAUACAUGCAAGUCGAGCGAACGGACGAGAAGCUUGCUUCUCUGAUGUUAGCGGCGGACGGGUGAGUAACACGUGGAUAACCUACCUAUAAGACUGGGAUAACUUCGGGAAACCGGAGCUAAUACCGGGUAAUAUUUUGAACCGCAUGGUUCAAAAGUGAAAGACGGUCUUGCUGUCACUUAUAGAUGGAUCCGCGCUGCAUUAGCUAGUUGGUAAGGUAACGGCUUACCAAGGCAACGAUGCAUAGCCGACCUGAGAGGGUGAUCGGCCACACUGGAACUGAGACACGGUCCAGACUCCUACGGGAGGCAGCAGUAGGGAAUCUUCCGCAAUGGGCGAAAGCCUGACGGAGCAACGCCGCGUGAGUGAUGAAGGUCCUCGGAUCGUAAAACUCUGUUAUUAGGGAAGAACAUAUGUGUAAGUAACUGUGCACAUCUUGACGGUACCUAAUCAGAAAGCCACGGCUAACUACGUG